This 52-nucleotide ribosomal RNA is filed under the name uncultured microorganism. RNAcentral describes it as "partial 16S ribosomal RNA". The record is from RNAcentral.
AGAGUUUGAUCAUGGCUCAGGGGAAUUGACGGAAACUCAAAGGAAUUGACGG